UGGAAUGAAACUCUGGAGAACCGAGUCCUCUGUUUAGCCCCAGAGCAGGUACAGCACAGGUAGGAGUGGUGCAAGCUUCACGCAUGCUGUACCCACCAAUGUACCUUAAGCCUGAACCUCGGAGAGACAACACCCUCUGGAGACAGGGUGGGAGGAGCUCAGCUUUCAGGUAUCCCUUCCUUCCUCAGUCCCU
Molecule: small RNA, 193 nt
Filed under: Gopherus agassizii (Agassiz's desert tortoise)
Lineage: Eukaryota; Metazoa; Chordata; Testudines; Testudinidae
Description: TUC338 (ENSGAGG00000025517.1)
Source: RNAcentral